This 348-nucleotide ribosomal RNA is filed under the name uncultured Pseudomonas sp. RNAcentral's name for it is "bacterial SSU rRNA". It matches the Rfam family "Bacterial small subunit ribosomal RNA", at positions 68 to 417 of the family's 1533-position model. Lineage: Bacteria; Pseudomonadati; Pseudomonadota; Gammaproteobacteria; Pseudomonadales; Pseudomonadaceae. The record is from RNAcentral.
GGUAGAGCAGAAGCUUGCUUCUCUUGAGAGCGGCGGACGGGUGAGUAAAGCCUAGGAAUCUGCCUGGUAGUGGGGGAUAACGUUCGGAAACGGACGCUAAUACCGCAUACGUCCUACGGGAGAAAGCAGGGGACCUUCGGGCCUUGCGCUAUCAGAUGAGCCUAGGUCGGAUUAGCUAGUUGGUGAGGUAAUGGCUCACCAAGGCGACGAUCCGUAACUGGUCUGAGAGGAUGAUCAGUCACACUGGAACUGAGACACGGUCCAGACUCCUACGGGAGGCAGCAGUGGGGAAUAUUGGACAAUGGGCGAAAGCCUGAUCCAGCCAUGCCGCGUGUGUGAAGAAGGUCU